UAUAGAGGGUGAGUCAAUGUUUGCUAAAUGAAUGGAUGAAAGAAUGGAAACAUGCAUAAUUUGGUAGUUAUAAAUGAUAAUUGAGAGGAAUGCCUUUCAUAGUUUCCAUGAAAAGGUGUUUUCUAUGAAGAUGCUUCUGCCUGUCUCUGCCUCUGGAAAUGUUUGGCUCAACUGCAUCCUCCCUCUUGGGGACACUUCUAAGAUCCUAAUUGUCCUCUGUUCUGGUCUUAGCACCCAGGAGCACUGCCUUCACUUGAGUCUAUUGGCCUCAUUCCAGGUUCUGAACACACGGCCUACACGUCUAAGACUGUCUUAGUCCGCUCUGGCUGCCAUAACAAAAUACCACAGACUGGAUGUCUCAAACAACAGGGACCUAUUUCUUACAGUGCUAGAGGCUAGGAGAUCCAAAAUCAAGGUGUUAGCAAGAGCGGAAGAGAAGGAGAGAAACAUCAAUGCACGCUUGCCUUUCCUGGGUCCCCUGCUGGAAACUGGCCUGCAGGGAACCAGCCUGCAACCCUGGCAUGUGCCCUGACUGGGAAUCAAACCGCGACUGUCUGGUCCGCAGGCCCGUGCUCAAUCCACUGAGCUACACCAGCCAGGGCUGAAGAUUCUUAUUUUGAGACAAUGAGAAAUCAAGGAAACAUUCCCAUCUGCCGUCUUGGACACAGCUUGUCUUCUGAGCUUGAACCCCAGUCCUGUCCUGACAGUAUGAAACUUCAAGGGUGGUAGCUGUGACGACAACACUGAGGAAAGAGUCAGAAGCAUCCUGCUGCGUGUCCUUGGGUGAUUCACGUCAGCUCUCUGGGCCUCUGUUUCUCUACUGCAAAUGCAGGAACGAUGGGCCUAGAGCACAUCAGGGUUUCCACCUUCAACCAUUUAUAAAGCACCGGCUUGAGUGUCCUAUGGCAGGAGCACCUGCCCUUUAAUUUGCUUUUCUGUGAUUGGCAUGCACCCAAUUUCUUUCUUUCCUUUUCUGGUUCUGGGUGCACCUGUGCUGUCUGGGUGCACCCAGAACCAGGUGUCCUCGGAGGUCUCAACCUCUGCCUGAAGGGGACAGUCACUUGGGCUCAUAAAUUCAAGGUGCUUGCUACCUACACCCUAACCCAGAAUCUAACAGAACGUGUCCUCCUGGCAACGUGCCCAUCGCAAGGACGCUCCAAGCAGAUGCCACAAGCUCUUCGGUGUGCUGGUAUCGCCCUUCCUUGGACUGUGGACGGGACACCCGUCGUUGGUUCAUUUGAAAUUUUCUAACCAUGUGUUUCCUUUCUCCUUCCAGUUCUAAGGCACUUAAGUAAAAAAAAAACAAAAACAAAAACAAAAAACAAUCAACCCUCCCUUGUUCCCACACAUUUUGGAGCAGACACUUAACAUCAUAGCCUUCCCUUUAACACCCUGUCUGCUGCCCCUCCCCUAUGACAGAAGGUUGCCCGCCAACAUAGUUGCUCUUUAAAUGCAGGUGAGUGGAAACUCAUCUCCUUCGGAGUACUUUGUGAACCCCAUGACACUUACGAUGGACAGUGCUAUGAACCGGCCAGCCCCCUCGGACUGCCUCCUGGUACAUGACUCCGGGAAGUGCCUGGGUAGGUGACUGCCCCCUCGGGGGGCAAGAUUCCCACUGACAGCUGGAUGGCUCCCUGGAGGGCUGGGACUGAGUGCGGGGCUCCGGUUUCUCCUUCAAACUCAUCCACUCCCUGUCUACAGUGCAGUCAGAACUCUGGACGGUGCCAGGUGGGUACUGAACUCCCCGGAGUGAUCACUUUGUAAGGUGUAUAAAUGUCUAGUCCCUCUGUUGUGCCCCUGGAGCUAAUAUGAUAUUAUAUGUCCACUGUAAUUGAAACAUACAUUUAAAAAAGUAAGCAUCUACACGGGUCUGGAAAUAAAAUCAAGGUUAGUUAAGUUGCAAAUAAUAACAGUUAAGGAUUGGGGCAAAAUUAUAAAAUGUCUUUUUAUUUUUUGCUCUGUUGUCUUAAAAUGUAAUGUUCCUUUAUGAUACCUUCUUAGUUGAUUUCAAAAAUAUGAUAUAUAAUUUAAAAAAAAAAUAAAAUUAAAAAAGGAAGGUCCCAACAUUACGAGGAGCAUCCUCAUCUUUUGUGGCCACUGCUGCAUCCUCACACACCUGGAAGUGUGCCUGGCUCUGGCUUACAGACUCUCAACAAAUGUUUGUUGAAUGAAUACAUUCUGUAGUUACCUCUUUGAACUCUAAGUUCUGCGAGGCAGGGACCAUUUCUGUUUUAUUACCUCUGUAAGUCUUCAUACUGAGCAUAUAGUAUGUAAUCAAUAAAUAUCUACUGAAUCGAGUUGUUCCUAGGAUGUUGCUGAUUAAUUCCUCAACCGCGUCAGUGUGGCCAAGAAGUUAGCGGCAGGGCUUCAGAGUCAGGCAGUCCUGCGUGUGAGUACUGACUCAGAUGUUUUCUCUCUGAGGAUCUGUGGCAAGGACUUCAACUCUGUGGCAAGGACUUCAACUCUGUGGCUCUCUCCUUCCUUUGGGAAAGAGAAGGAAGACAAUACCCCCCAAGGCACUUCAACCACAGGUUGUUGAGAGGAUUAAAUG
Molecule: long non-coding RNA, 2551 nt
Organism: Artibeus jamaicensis (Jamaican fruit-eating bat)
Lineage: Eukaryota; Metazoa; Chordata; Mammalia; Chiroptera; Phyllostomidae
Exons: 3
Source: RefSeq, a predicted model, not a curated record